Molecule: ribosomal RNA, 271 nt
Filed under: uncultured prokaryote
Description: partial 16S ribosomal RNA
Rfam family: Bacterial small subunit ribosomal RNA
Source: RNAcentral
UACGUAGGUGGCAAGCGUUAUCCGGAUUUAUUGGGUUUAAAGGGUGCGCAGGCGGGAGAUUAAGUCGGCGGUGAAAUUUUGCAGCUCAACUGUAAAAGUGCCUUCGAAACUGGUUUCCUUGAGUGUAGAUGAAGUAGGCGGAAUUUGUGGUGUAGCGGUGAAAUGCAUAGAUAUCACGAGGAACUCCGAUUGCGCAGGCAGCUUACUAAACUACUACUGACGCUCAGGCACGAAGGCGUGGGGAUCAAACAGGAUUAGAUACCCGCGUAGU